This 253-nucleotide ribosomal RNA is filed under the name uncultured bacterium. RNAcentral's name for it is "partial 16S ribosomal RNA". It matches the Rfam family "Bacterial small subunit ribosomal RNA", at positions 524 to 776 of the family's 1533-position model. The record is from RNAcentral.
UACGUAGGGGGCGAGCGUUGCUCGGAUUGACUGGGCGUAAAGCGCGCGUAGGCGGUCCAUUAAGUGUGUGGUGAAAUGCAGAGGCUCAACCUCUGUCCCGCCGCGCAAACUGGUGGUCUUGAGAUUGGGAGGGGGAUGCGGAAUUCCUGGUGUAGCGGUGAAAUGCAUUGAUAUCAGGAGGAACACCGGCGGCGAAGGCGGCAUCCUGGCUUAUAUCUGACGCUGAGGCGCGAAAGCGUGGGUAGCAAACGGG